RNAcentral lists this ribosomal RNA (225 nucleotides) under Pseudoalteromonas shioyasakiensis. RNAcentral describes it as "partial 16S ribosomal RNA". It matches the Rfam family "Bacterial small subunit ribosomal RNA", at positions 1 to 222 of the family's 1533-position model. The record is from RNAcentral. RNAcentral also lists the same sequence under 3 other names. Lineage: Bacteria; Pseudomonadati; Pseudomonadota; Gammaproteobacteria; Alteromonadales; Pseudoalteromonadaceae.
UAAUUGAAGAGUUUGAUCAUGGCUCAGAUUGAACGCUGGCGGCAGGCCUAACACAUGCAAGUCGAGCGGAAACGAAGAGGUGCUUGCACCUCUGGCGUCGAGCGGCGGACGGGUGAGUAAUGCUUGGGAAUAUGCCUUAUGGUGGGGGACAACAGUUGGAAACGACUGCUAAUACCGCAUGAUGUCUACGGACCAAAGUGGGGGACCUUCGGGCCUCACGCCAUA